GACGAACGCUGGCGGCGUGCUUAACACAUGCAAGUCGAACGCUGAAGCUCCCAGCUUGCUGGGGGUGGAUGAGUGGCGAACGGGUGAGUAACACGUGAGUAACCUGCCCCGAACUCUGGGAUAAGCGCUGGAAACGGCGUCUAAUACUGGAUAUGUCCUAUCACCGCAUGGUGUGUAGGUGGAAAGAAUUUUGGUUCGGGAUGGACUCGCGGCCUAUCAGCUAGAUGGUGAGGUAAUGGCUCACCAUGGCGACGACGGGUAGCCGGCCUGAGAGGGUGACCGGCCACACUGGGACUGAGACACGGCCCAGACUCCUACGGGAGGCUG
This 327-nucleotide ribosomal RNA is filed under the name uncultured Actinomycetes bacterium. RNAcentral describes it as "bacterial SSU rRNA". It matches the Rfam family "Bacterial small subunit ribosomal RNA", at positions 28 to 351 of the family's 1533-position model. The record is from RNAcentral. Lineage: Bacteria; Bacillati; Actinomycetota; Actinomycetes.